CUGCCUGCCCCCGCCCCCAAAAAAGGAAGAAGAAGAGUUUUUAAAUAGCGCAGCCCCAGAAUCCACGAGGAGGAAGUUCAGUAUUCUCUCCUGAGCGUGAAGUUGGCUCUUGGCGUUGCUUCACUGCAACUGCUAUUUGCCAUUGAUGAUUGUUCCUCUCUUCCUCUGAGAGAGUAAGAGGGAGAGGAUGCAGUCUGAGUGGU
Papio anubis (olive baboon) is the source of this 203-nucleotide small nucleolar RNA. Its record names the gene U3. It matches the Rfam family "Small nucleolar RNA U3". From Rfam's summary of the family: Small nucleolar RNAs (snoRNAs) are involved in the processing and modification of rRNA in the nucleolus. There are two main classes of snoRNAs: the box C/D class, and the box H/ACA class. NCBI's taxonomy places the organism in Eukaryota, Metazoa, Chordata, Mammalia, Primates, Cercopithecidae. The record is from Ensembl.